AAUUAGAGUGUUCAAAGCAGGCAGAUCCAAUUUUCUGCCACCGAAUACAUUAGCAUGGGAUAAUGGAAUAGGACCCUGUCCUCCUAUUUUCAGUUGGUUUUGGCAGCGCGAGGACUAGGGUAAUGAUUAAUAGGGAUAGUUGGGGGCAUUAAUAUUUAAUUGUCAGAGGUGAAAUUCUUGGAUUUAUGAAAGAUUAACUUCUGCGAAAGCAUCUGCCAAGGAUGUUUUCAUUAAUCAAGAACGAAAGUUAGGGGAUCGAAGACGAUCAGAUACCGUCGUAGUCUUAACCAUAAACGAUGCCGACCAGCGAUUAGGAGACGUUGAAUACAAAACACCACCAUCGGUGCGGUCGUCCUUGGCGUUGGUCUUCAAAAGCCAGCGC
Molecule: ribosomal RNA, 382 nt
Filed under: Acanthamoeba sp.
Lineage: Eukaryota; Discosea; Longamoebia; Acanthamoebidae
Description: SSU rRNA
Rfam family: Eukaryotic small subunit ribosomal RNA
Source: RNAcentral